Molecule: long non-coding RNA, 257 nt
Organism: Passer domesticus (house sparrow)
Lineage: Eukaryota; Metazoa; Chordata; Aves; Passeriformes; Passeridae
Exons: 3
Source: RefSeq, a predicted model, not a curated record
UAAUAGCACCUGGGAGACCAGGUGUGGUUCCAGCUCUCAGAGCAAUGUGCCCAGCAAAGCAGCUGCAUCAGUCAUUAAGCUGUCCUGAAGAUCUGUUACCCAGGAACUGGAUGCCAGGUCCAUAACCAUCUUAAGAUCAUGAAAUGCAACCAGGACUUCUUUCUUCUCCAUUGAUGUUUUCCAAGCCUAUAGCAGGAAUUACUUUUUUUCCUCUGAAAAAAUUGAAGUCUUCCUCACUACUGCAGCCACACUAGAAA